This 301-nucleotide ribosomal RNA is filed under the name uncultured bacterium. RNAcentral's name for it is "partial 16S ribosomal RNA". It matches the Rfam family "Bacterial small subunit ribosomal RNA", at positions 510 to 808 of the family's 1533-position model. The record is from RNAcentral.
AGUCGCCGCGGGAAUACAGAGGGUGCGAGCGUUAAUCGGAUUUACUGGGCGUAAAGCGUGCGUAGGCGGCUAAUUGAGUCGGAUGUGAAAUCCCCGAGCUUAACUUGGGAAUUGCAUUCGAUACUGGUUAGCUAGAGUGUGGGAGAGGAUGGUAGAAUUCCAGGUGUAGCGGUGAAAUGCGUAGAGAUCUGGAGGAAUACCGAUGGCGAAGGCAGCCAUCUGGCCUAACACUGACGCUGAGGUACGAAAGCAUGGGGAGCAAACAGGAUUAGAGACCCCCGUAGUCCCUGUCUCUUAUACA